RNAcentral lists this long non-coding RNA (5030 nucleotides) under Salvia miltiorrhiza (redroot sage). Its description in RNAcentral is "long non-coding RNA (SMIL_LNC005459)". Lineage: Eukaryota; Viridiplantae; Streptophyta; Magnoliopsida; Lamiales; Lamiaceae. The record is from RNAcentral.
UAAUAUUGCCUUUUACCCCAUCAUCGACUCUCUCAUGAUCUCAUCUACCGGCGGCGCGUCUUCUUUUGGUAGGGUUUCUUGGUUCGACGAGUUCUGAUCUUUUUUUUGUCGAACACGAAUAUUUGUCGACGUUUGCGAUUCUCUUGAGAUCGUGUGAACUGUUUUUCCGAAUAGUUCCUAGAUUUCUAGACGAAAAAAAUGAUAUUUUUUGUUCUGUUCUAAUGGCAAUCCAUGCUAACCGGUGAUUUCUUGUUCGACGACGAACGUAUAUUUGAGGUAGGGCGUCACGAUUUUUCGACUUGUCUUUUUUCGUUCACCGAGAAUGAUCUACUGCUACAGAGAGUGGGGUGGGAAUCUGAACCUCCAGUAGGUAGACCUCUUCUCAACGGACUUCUACUUCGAGGCCGCAGUGGAUUCAUCCACGUUCUGAUUUUAGGGUAUUCUUGCUGUUGGCCAUGGCCAUGAACACUUGCUGGAAGAAUCAUGAUGUAUUUUUGUCUAAAAUUGCUCAAUAGAAUCGGCGGGAUUCCCCAACCGUCGCAUUUCUAUCAUCCGAGCCGGAUCUUACACCGACGAGCUCCUCAAGACAGCUGUAGGUAUUCACGAUUCUUCAUCAACUUCUCAAUAUGUGUCUGUGUAUAAUUAAAUCAAAUAUGUGAGUGAAUUUCCUACAUGUGAAAUUUUGUGUGAAUGUGAUACGCAUUGUAUGAAUUUAAGUUGCUAAUGAUAGAACUCUAUUUCUGGAUUAUUGUGUGUAAAUUUGAUGUUCAAAUAAUAGUAGUUGACUUUUGUCGUUCAAACAUGAUGUUCAAAUAUGAUGCUUGUGUCGUUGGUUUAUGGCUUAAAUUUUGAGCAGUUUUCUUUGUUCUAGUUGAAUUGCACUAUUAGUUGUGUUGAUGUUAAAGUGAAUUUGACUUUUGAUUGAAUGUGUUUGUAGCUUAGCUUGGGAUUUUGAUUGACAACCUUAUAGGUUUAUGUCGAAAAACUAGAAAUCAAAAUAAAACUAGACUUAAAAAAGAAGAGGGACAACAUGACGUUAUUUCUAAGGAGAGAUCUAUUAGUGCUUGGUAUUGUAUUAGGAUCCCAAAUGGUCAUAUUGCUGAUUUUUCAAUCAUAGCAUACUCUCUCUCAAAUUGUUGUGCAAGUGAAACUUUUGAGGUUCUUCAAAAUGAAUUUUUUUUUUCUUACUAUUUCUUAUUGAUACUUGGCUCUUUGAAGGAGAAAAAUGUGUUCUAUUGCUGCAUUGUUUUUUAUGUAGGGGAAAACCCUUUGAAUUUGACCUUUUUAUUUUAAAAUUCUCAAAUAGGUGGGGAUGCCCUCCAAGCAACUUUCCAUUAACAUAUUCUGCAAAAGAACAUGCUAUCUGGGAAAGGUGAAAAUGUAAGAAGGCAGUUGAGAUAGGAUCCCACCAACUUUAAUUCUGAGCUUAUUCAUUGAAUUAAUGACUUUGUUCGUUAUUGUCAUAUAUUUUAUUCGGUGAAAAACUAAUGUUUUAUUACUAUAUUUUAUGAUCGAAAUAAACUAAUUCUUAGCUUUAUUCAGUGAAUUGUUGACUUUUUUCAUUACUAUUGUACAUUUUAUUCGGUGAUCAAAUUAUGUUUUAAAAUUAUACAUUACAAUUUAGUGAUCAAAAUGAACAGGUUAUUAGCUAAUUCAUUGAAUUAUUGAUUUUAUUCAAUAUAAUUUAUUUGGUGAUCAAAAUAAUGUUUUAAAAUUAUACAUAACAAUUUAGUGAUCAAAAUGAACGUAUAUAUCUUAGCUUAUUCAUUGAACUAUUGAUUAUCGUUGAAUAUUUUAUUGUGUGAAAAAACUAAUGUAAUAAAUACUUUUAAAAAUGUGUACAAUGGACUUCGUGUUCAACAAUUAUAAAAAUUACUAAAGAUAGAUAAACUAAAUAAGCUCAGGAAUAAUUUUAUACAAGUCUAUCAAUCAACAACUAAGCUAAUGAAUAAGUUAGAAAAGGAAAAAGACUGAAAAUUGUAAAUGUCUUUGAAUCAUCAACGCGCACCAAUACUAGGCUUCUAAUUAAAAAAAGUUUUCUCUCCUUGUUGAGAGCCUUUGCUUUUUCUCCUAGUUGAGAACCUGUCUUUUGAUUCUCUCUUCUUUCGUCUCUCUCAUGGAAGAUCAGAUGGCAGGACUACACAUCUCUCAUGAGGACGAUGAAUUGACGAUUGACGAUGAGAUCACGGGUGAUUCAAAUGUUUCAGUCGAUCUGUGCUUGGUGGGGCGUUUUCUCACUGAGCAACCUAUAAAUUUCAGCCUAAUGCGAAGCCGUCUGGCGAGUAUCUGGCGACCAGGGAAAGGAGUCUUCGUCAAGGAUAUAGGAAAAGGGCGCUACAUCUUCCAGUUUUUCCACGAAAUCGAUCUACUGCGCGUGUUUGAGGGAGGUCCUUGGUCCUUUGGAAUUUUUCCGCUCAUUCUACACCGGCUUAAACGUGGCGAAUUUCCGAUGGUUGUUCCCCUUGAUCUUCUUCCGUUUUGGGUCCAGAUCCAUGAUAUCCCGGCGGGAUACCUAACCGCAGGUUUCGGCAAACUUCUUGGAAAUUUUGUUGGCUCAUUCAUGGAGUAUGAUACUACAAUUCUCGGGAGUUUGGAGGCAGUACAUGCGUGUCCGGGUUGGCAUCCGGGUUUCUGAACCUCUUAAGCGUUUUAAGAAAGUUCGACAUAAAGAUGGUUCUUCCUUCGUGGUAAAUUUCAAGUAUGAGAGACUCAAUGUCUUUUGCUUUCUCUGUGGCAAACUCGGACAUUCCGAGAGUUUCUGUGAACUUAUGUUCCUCCCAACGGUGAAAGAGGCAGCUCGGGAAUGGGGAGUCUGGUUGAAGGCUGAUGAUCGUCGUGGCAUUACUUUGGCCGGUGACAAGUGGAUCCGAAAUGAUGACAGCGCAGGAAACCCUAGCUUGGUGGCGGCGCAUACUAGGGUUUUUUCUGAUCAGCCGUUACAUGACCCCAAAAGGAAAGCGCUUGAAAACAGGAGCAUAUCCAUCUCCACUGAUUUGAUGGAAUCUUCUAAGGAGCGUAUCCCACAUAAUCAGCAACAACUAAUCCUCCAUGAUAUCACUAACGAAAAUUAUGUUAGGGAUUCAAUGAUGAUCGUUGACUCGUCACCUGACUACGUGGACGAGCGAAAAAGGCGUCGUGGUACUGACAUCACGGGUAUGGAAACUUCUUCUACGUUAGUAACUUUUCCUGCAGGUCCCACCGAGGAUGGUUCUGACGUUCUUACUUCUCAAGCGGAGGGCUCCGGUUUCGGGGUCGGCCGAGCUCAAUGAAUGUGAUAAGUUGGAAUUGCAGGGGCUUGGGCCAACCCCUAGCAAUUCCCACCCUUAAUGAACUCGUGAGAGUUCAUCGGCCACACUUUCUCUUCCUUUGCGAAACCUUAUCCCGUCGUAACAGAAUGGAAGAGAUCCGCGCUAGGCUUCAUUUUGAUGGUUGCUUUGUUGUUGAUUGUGUUGGGCGAAGCGGCGGGCUUUGCAUGUUGUGGAAUUCUUCGGACAUCUGUAAAUUAAUUGGAUUUUCUGGUAAUCAUAUUGACAUGGAGGUCACAGACUGCAAUGGUACUUCGCGUAUCACCGGCUUCUAUGGUUUCCCGGAAAGAAGUCGAAGGCGUGAUUCUUGGAACUUAUUGAGACGGCUAGCUGGCAUUAACUCACUUCCUUGGGUCAUCUUAGGAUAUUUCAAUGACCUUCUUGAUCCGGGAGACAAAAGAGGGCGUGUGGCGCACCCUUCUUGGCUUUUCUCGGGCUUCCGGUCUGCUAUUCUCGAGUGUGGUCUGUCUGAUAUUCCGAUCCAUGGGCAUCCCUUCACCUGGUCCCGGGGAUCAGAUUCUGCAAACUUUGUUGAAGAAAGGCUUGAUAGGGGAAUGGCGACUCCUAAUUGGCAUGCUCUAUUUCCCGAUGCUUUUCUUAAGACUUAUUUGGUGCCGAUGUCGGACCACGUGCCUAUCAUUCUCCAUCUAAAAGGUUCUCCCAUAACUACUCUGACCCGUCGGUUUAGGUUUGAGAACAAGUGGUGUCUUGAACCGGAUUUACCGCAUGUUGUCCGUAACUGUUGGACGAAUCUUCAUGGCGUUAGCAUUCUAGAGAGACUGACCGCGGUCUCUGAUUCUAUCUCUAUAUGGGCGAAGGCUCUUCAUGGUGAUGAACGAAGUAAAAAGAAGCGGCUCCAGAAGACCAUAUCCUCCCUCCAAGGGCGGGAUGACUCUUUUGCCAUUAGUAGAACUAAUGAUAGAACUCUAUUUUUGGAUGAGUAGACUUGUAUGAUGCUUUUGUGAUUAAGUCUGUUAUUUUGUGUAAAUUUGAUGUUCAAAUAAUAGUAGUUGACUUUUGUCGUUCAAACAUGAUGUUCAAAUAUGAUGCUUGUGUCGUUGGUUUAUGGCUUAAAUUUUGAGCAGUUUUCUUUGUUCUAGUUGAAUUGCACUAUUUGUUGUGUUGAUGUUAAAGUGAAUUUGACUUUUGAUUGAAUGUGUUUGUAGCUUAGCUUGGGAUUUUGAUUGACAACCUUAUAGGUUUAUGUCGAAAAACUAGAAAUCAAAAUAAAACUAGACUUAAAAAAGAAGAGGGACAACAUGACGUUAUUUCUAAGGAGAGAUCUAUUAGUGCUUGGUAUUGUAUUAGGAUCCCAAAUGGUCAUAUUGCUGAUUUUUCAAUCAUACCAUACUCUCUCUCAAAUUGUUGUGCAAGUGAAACUUUUGAGGUUCUUCAAAAUGAACUUUUUUUUUCUUAGUAUUUCUUAUUGAUACUUGGCUCUUUGAAGGAGAAAAAUGUGUUCUAUUGCUGCAUUGUUUUUUAUGUAGGGGAAAACCCUUUGAAUUUGACCUUUUUAUUUUAAAAUUCUCAAACAGGUGGGGAUGCCCUCCAAGCAACUUUCCAUUAACAUAUUCUGCAAAAGAACAUGCUAUCUGGGAAAGGUGAAAAUGUAAGAAGGCAGUUGAGAUUGGAUCCAACCAACUUUAAUUCUGAGCUUAUUCAUUGAAUUAAUGACUUUGUUCGUUAUUGUCAUAUAUUUUAUUCGGUGAAAAACUAAUGUUUUAU